This 501-nucleotide ribosomal RNA is filed under the name uncultured bacterium. RNAcentral describes it as "partial 16S ribosomal RNA". It matches the Rfam family "Bacterial small subunit ribosomal RNA", at positions 30 to 523 of the family's 1533-position model. The record is from RNAcentral.
AUUGAACGCUGGCGGCAGGCUUAACACAUGCAAGUCGAGCGGGGGGAGGUAGCUUGCUACCGGACCUAGCGGCGGACGGGUGAGUAAUGCUUAGGAAUCUGCCUAUUAGUGGGGGACAACAUCUCGAAAGGGAUGCUAAUACCGCAUACGUCCUACGGGAGAAAGCAGGGGAUCUUCGGACCUUGCGCUAAUAGAUGAGCCUAAGUCGGAUUAGCUAGUUGGUGGGGUAAAGGCCUACCAAGGCGACGAUCUGUAGCGGGUCUGAGAGGAUGAUCCGCCACACUGGGACUGAGACACGGCCCAGACUCCUACGGGAGGCAGCAGUGGGGAAUAUUGGACAAUGGGGGGAACCCCGAUCCAGCCAUGCCGCGUGUGUGAAGAAGGCCUUAUGGUUGUAAAGCACUUUAAGCGAGGAGGAGGCUACUUUAGUUAAUACCUAGAGAUAGUGGACGUUACUCGCAGAAUAAGCACCGGCUAACUCUGUGCCAGCAGCCGCCGUAA